RNAcentral lists this ribosomal RNA (434 nucleotides) under uncultured bacterium. RNAcentral's name for it is "partial 16S ribosomal RNA". It matches the Rfam family "Bacterial small subunit ribosomal RNA", at positions 29 to 507 of the family's 1533-position model. The record is from RNAcentral.
AGCGAACGCUGGCGGCAGGCCUAACACACGCAAGUCGAACGAACCUUUCGGGGUUAGUGGCGGACGGGUGAGUAACACGUGGGAACGUGCCUUUAGGUUCGGAAUAACUCAGGGAAACUUGUGCUAAUACCGAAUGUGCCCUUCGGGGGAAAGAUUAAUCGCCUUUAGAGCGGCCCGCGUCUGAUUAGCUAGUUGGUUGAGGUAAUGGCUCACCAAGGCGACGAUCAGUAGCUGGUCUGAGAGGAUGAUCAGCCACAUUGGGACUGAGACACGGCCCAAACUCCUACGGGAGGCAGCAGUGGGGAAUCUUGCGCAAUGGGCGAAAGCCUGACGCAGCCAUGCCGCGUGAAUGAUGAAGGUCUUAGGAUUGUAAAAUUCUUUCACCGGGGACGAUAAUGACGGUACCCGGAGAAGAAGCCCCGGCUAACUUCGUG